GAGGCUUUCAUCCACAGGGAAUUCUGUCCUCCUCAGAAACACAACUGUAGAGCAAAGCCUUAUUACUGCUGCAGGAAAAAAAGAAACACGUGCUUCAGUGACUUUUAUCCUGUUACUGUCUUCUCAUAUGACCUAACACUAUUGCUCAGCAAAAAGAGGAAAUACAAUGCAGGCUUGGUUUUCCAGCUCUCUGGCAUACACAGAAA
Corapipo altera (White-ruffed manakin) is the source of this 206-nucleotide long non-coding RNA. RefSeq lists it as uncharacterized. The record is from RefSeq and is a predicted model, not a curated record. Lineage: Eukaryota; Metazoa; Chordata; Aves; Passeriformes; Pipridae. The transcript is spliced from 3 exons.